CACCCAUCCAAAAAUGUGUUUGGGUACAAAAGUGGGGAUAACCCCCUUAUCCCCCCUCUUGUACCCAAUCCAAACACUAGCUCAGGGUCUGGAUCCUUUGUAUAAAAUUUUCGGGUGAAACCUUUGGGAUCCGGAUCUUUCCAUAAAGCCCGAAUCCUAAAAAUUGCUCUAUUACUCGCAUGGUUUCCCCAUCCUUCUUCCGUUUCCUUUCAUCAUCCCUUCCCAUCUCUCUUGUCUUCUCUCUCCCUCUACACUAUCCUCCCUUCCCAUCCACUUCUCUCCUUCCUCUCCCUCUACUCCGUCCUCCCUUCCUGUUGCCUCCUCUGCUUUCUCUCCCUCUACUACGUCGACCCUUCCUAUUCUCUCCCCUCAUCCCUCUCCCUCUACGCCCUCCGACGACGACAAUGACGUUGGCACCGUCGAUGCUACCACCGCUAC
This 438-nucleotide long non-coding RNA is filed under the name Ananas comosus (pineapple). RNAcentral's name for it is "long non-coding RNA (ACOM_LNC011850)". Lineage: Eukaryota; Viridiplantae; Streptophyta; Magnoliopsida; Poales; Bromeliaceae. The record is from RNAcentral.